RNAcentral lists this ribosomal RNA (207 nucleotides) under uncultured bacterium. Its description in RNAcentral is "partial 16S ribosomal RNA". It matches the Rfam family "Bacterial small subunit ribosomal RNA", at positions 568 to 774 of the family's 1533-position model. The record is from RNAcentral.
UACGUAGGUGGUUUAUUAAGUUAGGUGUGAAAUCCCCGGGCUUAACCUGGGAAUUGCGCUUGAUACUGGUAAGCUAGAGUAUUGUAGAGGAAAGUGGAAUUUCCGGUGUAGCGGUGAAAUGCGUAGAUAUCGGAAGGAACACCAGUGGCGAAGGCGACUUUCUGGACAGAUACUGACACUGAGGUACGAAAGCGUGGGGAGCAAACA